AUGUCCGAUUCCGAAGCAUCCCCGACGCCCGCGGUUGCGGUUGCGGCUGCGGCAGCGGAGGCGGCGACGGCCGAGAGCUCCCCGUCUCCGGCGAGGAGUGAGGAGCUGCUGCCGGUGGCGGAGAAGAUCUCGGAAUUAAAUGAAUCACAGUCAGAGCUUUUGGGAAGACUUCGAGGUCUUAAGGAGGAUUUGCAGAGCUGGAGAAGCAAUUUAGACACCCAAGUGCAGAAAUACAAAACUGAAAUCUCCGAUAUCAAAACUGCACUUAAUAGUGAGAUAGACCAGCUGAAAUCAGAUUUCCAAGAACUGAGGACCACCCUUAAGAAGCAACAGGAAGAUGUGACUAUUAGCUUGAAGAAUUUGGGGCUAGAAGAUUCUACCGAAACUGAUGGGAACAAAGGAAGUGGGGAGGAAAAUACAAGUGAGGGUGCAUUAGCAAACAUGGGGGACCUGAAACUAGAAGAUUCUGCCGAAACUGAUGGGAACAAAGGAAGUGAGGACGAAAAUACAAGUGAGGGUGCAUUAGCAAACAUGGGGGACCUGAAAUUGGAGGAUAAUCCAGAAAAUAAUGAUGAAAGCAGUGGGGUUGAGGAGGAAAAGAAUCAGGAGGCCCCUGAAGAAGAUGGCAUGGCGGGCAUAGAAGGUACCAAGACGGAAGAUGACACGGCGGGCAAAGAAGAUACCAAGAUGGAAGAUGACACGGCGGGCAUAGAAGGUACCAAGACGGAAGAUGUCAUGGCGGGCAUAGAAGGUACCAAGACGGAAGAUGUCAUGGCGGGCAUAGAAGGUACCAAGACGGAAGAUGACAUGGCGGACAUAGAAGGUACCAAGACGGAGAAUCCAAGCGACGAAUAA
Molecule: ribosomal RNA, 855 nt
Filed under: Triticum aestivum (bread wheat)
Lineage: Eukaryota; Viridiplantae; Streptophyta; Magnoliopsida; Poales; Poaceae
Description: partial small subunit ribosomal RNA
Source: RNAcentral